RNAcentral lists this ribosomal RNA (216 nucleotides) under Glomeromycotina sp. RNAcentral describes it as "partial small subunit ribosomal RNA". The stretch from base 44 to 216 matches the Rfam family "Eukaryotic small subunit ribosomal RNA", at positions 690 to 864 of the family's 1831-position model. Lineage: Eukaryota; Fungi; Glomeromycota. The record is from RNAcentral.
GGGUCAGUAGGUUGGUCGUGCCACCGGUACGUACUGGUCCCACUGAUUCCUCCUUCCUGAAGAACCGUAAUGCCAUUAAUUUGGUGUUGCGGGGAAACAGGACUGUUACUUUGAAAAAAUUAGAGUGUUUAAAGCAAGCUAACGCUUGAAUACAUUAGCAUGGAAUAAUGAAAUAGGACGAUCGAUCCUAUUUUGUUGGUUUCUAGGAUUGACGCA